CCUACGGGAGGCAGCAGUGGGGAAUUUUGGACAAUGGGCGCAAGCCUGAUCCAGCCAUGCCGCGUGCAGGAUGAAGGCCUUCGGGUUGUAAACUGCUUUUGUACGGAACGAAAAGGUUUGGCCUAAUAAGCUGAGCUCAUGACGGUACCGUAAGAAUAAGCACCGGCUAACUACGUGCCAGCAGCCGCGGUAAUACGUAGGGUGCGAGCGUUAAUCGGAAUUACUGGGCGUAAAGCGUGCGCAGGCGGUUAUGUAAGACAGAUGUGAAAUCCCCGGGCUCAACCUGGGAACUGCAUUAGUGACUGCAUAGCUGGAGUACGGCAGAGGGGGAUGGAAUUCCGCGUGUAGCAGUGAAAUGCGUAGAUAUGCGGAGGAACACCGAUGGCGAAGGCAAUCCCCUGGGCCUGUACUGACGCUCAUGCACGAAAGCGUGGGGAGCAAACAGGAUUAGAUACCCUGGUAGUCCACGCCCUAAACGAUGUCAACUGGUUGUUGGGUCUUCACUGACUCAGUAACGAAGCUAACGCGUGAAGUUGACCGCCUGGGGAGUACGGCCGCAAGGUUGAAACUCAAAUGAAUUGACGG
Molecule: ribosomal RNA, 585 nt
Filed under: uncultured bacterium
Lineage: Bacteria
Description: bacterial SSU rRNA
Rfam family: Bacterial small subunit ribosomal RNA
Source: RNAcentral